RNAcentral lists this ribosomal RNA (253 nucleotides) under uncultured bacterium. Its description in RNAcentral is "partial 16S ribosomal RNA". It matches the Rfam family "Bacterial small subunit ribosomal RNA", at positions 524 to 776 of the family's 1533-position model. The record is from RNAcentral.
UACGAAGGGGGCUAGCGUUGUUCGGAAUUACUGGGCGUAAAGCGCGCGCAGGCGGUCUUCCAAGUCAGUGGUGAAAGCCCGGAGCUCAACUCCGGAACUGCCAUUGAAACUGUGAGACUUGAGUACGAGAGAGGUGAGUGGAAUUCCCAGUGUAGAGGUGAAAUUCGUAGAUAUUGGGAAGAACACCGGUGGCGAAGGCGGCUCACUGGCUCGUAACUGACGCUCAGGCGCGACAGCGUGGGGAUCAAACAGG